Molecule: small RNA, 484 nt
Filed under: uncultured Diversispora
Lineage: Eukaryota; Fungi; Glomeromycota; Glomeromycetes; Diversisporales; Diversisporaceae
Description: SSU rRNA
Rfam family: Eukaryotic small subunit ribosomal RNA
Source: RNAcentral
AGCAGCCGCGGUAAUUCCAGCUCCAAUAGCGUAUAUUAAAGUUGUUGCAGUUAAAAAGCUCGUAGUUGAACUUCGGGGUUUACCCAUUGGUCAGGCUUAAUUGUCUGUACUGGUGAGAUAAAUCUCUACCUUCUGAGGAACUUUCAUGCCAUUUAUUUGGUGUGAUUGGAAAUCAGGACUAUUACUUUGAAAAAUUAGAGUGUUUAAAGCAGGCUAAAGUCUGAAUACAUUAGCAUGGAAUAAUGAAAUAGGACGGAUUGAUUCUAUUUCGUUGGUUUCUAGGAUCACCGUAAUGAUUAAUAGGGAUAGUUGGGGGCAUUAGUAUUCAAUUGUCAGAGGUGAAAUUCUUGGAUUUAUUGAAGACUAACUACUGCGAAAGCAUUUGCCAAGGAUGUUUUCAUUAAUCAAGAACGAAAGUUAGGGGAUCGAAGACGAUCAGAUACCGUCGUAGUCUUAACCAUAAACUAUGCCGACUAGGGAUCGG